GUACCCUCCGUCCUCCCUCACCGACCGCCAGCCACAGACGGUUCCCACCGGCUCCGCGCAGCCUCCCUCCAGUGUCUUGGCACCAUGCACACUCACCAUUGUGGCUCCGCGUCUGCAGCGUCUGUGUCCUCCCGUGGAUGGCCCGGCACCCACCAGACCACAGGGCAAACGGAUGCGGCGGGGNCGAGCCAGCGUCCACACCGGAAGAGACCCAGCCUGCGGAGGAUUCCAAGAUCCUGGACUUCAGAAACAAAACGAGAAAGCCCGCCCCCUCCACCCUUUCUACACGGCUGAUUGGAAGGUGUCACUAUCGGGCUGCUGAUUGGAUGACUUUCAGAUCCCGCCCCAUCAGGACCCAACACUGCCCUAGGAAGCUGGAAUGACAGGUUCUCAGUACAGUUGUAGUAAAGAUGACACUAAAGGGGACAUUUGCAUUUAAUCUCGUAUAUAAGGUCGUAGUGAUGUAUGAGUCGUGUGUAUGUACAUUAUUCGCAAUAGAAAAGAAUUUCGUGACAAUUUUUCCCCUGAGCUCUGUUCCCGAAUUCUAAAUUUUAAAAUGGGAAGCAAUCCCCUGAAUCAGCAAUAUCCAAUAUAAAAGGGGGGAGAAACACACAAGUGUAAUAUUGAAUUUUCUAGUAUUUAUAUUAAAAUUAAAACAGGGAAUAAUGAUUGUAAUAAAACCCAG
Molecule: long non-coding RNA, 685 nt
Filed under: Cricetulus griseus (Chinese hamster)
Lineage: Eukaryota; Metazoa; Chordata; Mammalia; Rodentia; Cricetidae
Description: lncRNA (ENSCGRG00000025868.1)
Source: RNAcentral